UCCCAAACCCAUGUGAACAUACCUACAUGUUGCUUCGGCGCGGCCGCCCCGGCGCCCGGGACUCACGUCUCGCGGCCCGGAACCAGGCGCCCGCCGGAGGCCACAAACUCUUCUGUAUUUACAGUUUCUUCUGAGUGUGCCGCAAGGCAGAAAACAAAUGAAUCAAAACUUUCAACAACGGAUCUCUUGGUUCUGGCAUCGAUGAAGAACGCAGCGAAAUGCGAUAAGUAAUGUGAAUUGCAGAAUUCAGUGAAUCAUCGAAUCUUUGAACGCACAUUGCGCCCGCCAGAAUUCUGGCGGGCAUGCCUGUUCGAGCGUCAUUUCAACCCUCGAGCUCCCCUUGGGGAGCCCGGCGUUGGGGACCGGCAGUAACACCGCCGGCCCCGAAAUGGAGUGGCGGCCCCGUCCGCGGCGACCUCUGCGUAGUAAAUCCACUCGCACCGGGACCCGGGCGCGGCCACGCCGUAAAACCACAAACUUCCGAAUGUUGACCUCUAAUCAGGUAGGAAUACUCG
RNAcentral lists this ribosomal RNA (515 nucleotides) under Hypocreales sp. P2-P-3-34. RNAcentral describes it as "eukaryotic LSU rRNA". The stretch from base 167 to 320 matches the Rfam family "5.8S ribosomal RNA". The record is from RNAcentral. Lineage: Eukaryota; Fungi; Ascomycota; Sordariomycetes; Hypocreales.